GACGAACGCUGGCGGCGUGCUUAACACAUGCAAGUCGAACGAAGUGGCGGACGGGUGAGUAACGCGUGAGCAAUCUGUCCCACAGAGGGGGAUAACAACUGGAAACAGUUGCUAAUACCGCAUACUGUGGGGUGAGCUCGCGUCUGAUUAGUUAGUUGGUGAGGUAACGGCCCACCAAGACAGCGAUCGGUAGCCGACCUGAGAGGGUGAUCGGCCACAUUGGGACUGAGACACGGCCCAGACUCCUACGGGAGGCAGCAGUGGGGAAUAUUGGGCAAUGGGCGAAAGCCUGACCCAGCAACGCCGCGUGAGGGAAGAAGGUUUUCGGAUUGUAAACCUCUGUCCUAAGGGACGCGGUACCUUAGGAGGAAGCCCCGGCUAACUACGUGCCAGCAGCCGCGGUAAUACGUAGGGGGCGAGCGUUGUCCGGAAUGACUGGGCGUAAAGGGCGUGUAGGCGGCAGUAUAAGUCCGGAGUGAAAGUCCUGCUUUCAAGGUGGGAAUUGCUUUGGAGACUGUACAGCUUGAGUGCGGAAGAGGUAAGUGGAAUUCCCAGUGUAGCGGUGAAAUGCGUAGAGAUUGGGAGGAACACCAGUGGCGAAGGCGACUUACUGGGCCGUAACUGACGCUGAGGCGCGAAAGCGUGGGGAGCGAACAGGAUUAGAUACCCUGGUAGUCCACGCGGUAAACGAUGAAUGCUAGGUGUAGGGCUGUGCCGGAGUAAACACAAUAAGCAUUCCGCCUGGGGAGUACGGCCGCAAGGUUGCAACUCAAAUGAAUUGACGGA
This 786-nucleotide ribosomal RNA is filed under the name uncultured bacterium. RNAcentral describes it as "bacterial SSU rRNA". It matches the Rfam family "Bacterial small subunit ribosomal RNA", at positions 28 to 917 of the family's 1533-position model. The record is from RNAcentral.